This 507-nucleotide unclassified non-coding RNA is filed under the name Hevea brasiliensis (rubber tree). The record is from RNAcentral. Lineage: Eukaryota; Viridiplantae; Streptophyta; Magnoliopsida; Malpighiales; Euphorbiaceae.
AAUACAGACCAGUUACUUGAUCUAUUUACUUCGGCUGAAAGCAAAAAGGGAGCCAGUAGAUCCAAAAGAACUGAUGAAAAAUCUGACGUGGACUCAAUCUUGCCACGUAGUGGAAAGGGAUUGAAAGCCAUUCUCGGAGGAUUGGAGGAGCUUUGGGAUCAGUCACAAUACACAGAGGAGUAUAACCUGGGUCAGUUCUUAGCUAAGCUUAAUGGAUAAUUAUGUAAGCUUCUUCGCGCCAUUGCAUUGGAGAGUAUGCUGAACAAGGUAGAGUGAUGAGAUGAUGCAGCUGUGCGUUCCAUGUACAAAGUGUACAUUCUUUGAGUCUGCCCACAAUUUUGACGAUUAGAGGUAGUUCUCUUUUUCCUAUUUAUAUUGUUUUCGUUUUAAUUUUUCGUGAUAAUUCUAGACAGUGAAUUACAUUUUUGGACUCCAUUGACAUAGAAAUAGUUUAUAGCGGAGCACAGUUGUGGGAUGGCACAGAUGAUGCCCCUCUUAGGAAAGCUG